UUUUGGCCCGAUUUUAACACUUUGUGAGGUUUUUGUGAAGGUAGGGUUCAGAGUUGGAAAACUACGAUCGUUGGUUUGAUGAGUUUGUUUGUUUUAUUUUGUUAGUGGAUUCGAAGUCUAGGUAAUAUUUUCAAGGGUUUUCAUGUUGGAAGAUUGUAUGUUUUUUUAGUUUAAGUUGAGGUUAGGGUUCGGAGUCUGGAAGUCUUAAUCCGGCCAUUAGAGGAGGAUUUAGAGGAAACUAAUCGUGGAUUUAGAGAGAGGGUGAAAAAU
RNAcentral lists this long non-coding RNA (270 nucleotides) under Lathyrus oleraceus (garden pea). Its description in RNAcentral is "Pisum sativum (pea) long non-coding RNA (PSAT_LNC021939)". The record is from RNAcentral. Lineage: Eukaryota; Viridiplantae; Streptophyta; Magnoliopsida; Fabales; Fabaceae.